GUCUCUUAAUCCACUAUACGUUGAUACUUGGGGUAGUUGAAAACAAUUACAUACUAUUUCAGAAAUGCAAUAUGGAAACGAUUUAGGAAGAAGUGUGCAUGAAAGCAAUGUUAUGACAAUAAAAUAAAAGAUAUUUUCGAGAAGAUCAAAGCAAAAAAUGAAUUUCAGAUUCCUUAUAUGAAGCUAAAAAAAAGAAGCCUAAUUAGAUAUGAAAAGAUGCAUGGAUAAUCUUUUUAGAGAAGUGGGAGGCUCCUAAAUUUAAGAGGAAGAGUGAACAAGCAAACACAAUCUGAGCCUCUCAAAAGGUUAGCUCGUGACACAUCUUAGGAUCUAUGAAUUUUUCUCUACAUCGACAAAGAAUGGAAAUGUUAAAAGGAGGACCAAUGUCUCAUGUUGAGGUCUUUGUGGAGACAACAAGAAAAAGAAAAAGGACGAUUCAAGAGAAGGAUGGGUCAAGCCACAUGGAGAGGAGACAUAUGGAAGAUCAUAACUUUAAGACUAUUGUGUUUUCUUUAAUAUUAGUUUAAAUUUUUAUAUAUUAUGCUUAUUAUUUUUAUUUUAGGAAGGAUAUGAUAGAAGUUUGGAUGAAUAGCGCCAGACACAACCUGCUUCUCAGGAUGGUACAAUAAUUCAAUUGACACCCGAUGAUAUAAUUUCAAUAUGAACAGAUGAUGAUUUAUCAAAGGUAGAUUCUAUGA
This is a long non-coding RNA of Nicotiana attenuata, 698 nucleotides long. RefSeq lists it as uncharacterized. The record is from RefSeq and is a predicted model, not a curated record. The transcript has 3 exons. NCBI's taxonomy places the organism in Eukaryota, Viridiplantae, Streptophyta, Magnoliopsida, Solanales, Solanaceae.